GGCGGCGUGCCUAACACAUGCAAGUCGAACGGGGAUGGGGAGCUUGCUUCCUAUUCUAGUGGCGCACGGGUGAGUAACGCGUAGAUAAUCUGCCUGAUGAUCUGGGAUAACACUUCGAAAGGGGUGCUAAUACCGGAUAAGCCCACGAAGUCUUUGGACUUUGCGGGAAAAGGGGGGGACCUUCGGGCCUUCUGUCAUCAGAUGAGUCUGCGUACCAUUAGCUAGUUGGUAGGGUAAAGGCCUACCAAGGCUACGAUGGUUAGCUGGUCUGAGAGGAUGAUCAGCCACACUGGAACUGAGACACGGUCCAGACUCCUACGGGAGGCAGCAGUGGGGAAUUUUGCGCAAUGGGCGAAAGCCUGACGCAGCAACGCCGCGUGAGUGAUGAAGGCUUUCGGGUCGUAAAGCUCUGUCGAGGGGAAAGAAGUGUAUUGAGGCUAAUAUCCUUGAUACUUGACGGUACCCCUAAAGGAAGCACCGGCUAACUCCGUGCCAGCAGCCGCGGUAAUACGGGGGGUGCAAGCGUUGUUCGGAAUUAUUGGGCGUAAAGCGCGUGUAGGCGGUUUGAUUAGUCUGAUGUGAAAGCCCUGGGCUCAACCCAGGAAGUGCAUUGGAAACUGUCAGACUUGAAUACGGGAGAGGGUAGUGGAAUUCCUAGUGUAGGAGUGAAAUCCGUAGAUAUUAGGAGGAACACCGGUGGCGAAGGCGGCUACCUGGACCGAUAUUGACGCUGAGACGCGAAAGCGUGGGUAGCAAACAGGAUUAGAUACCCUGGUAGUCCACGCCGUAAACGAUGAGUACUAGGUGUUGCGGGUAUUGACCCCUGCAGUGCCGCAGCUAACGCAUUAAGUACUCCGCCUGGGAAGUACGGUCGCAAGAC
This 880-nucleotide ribosomal RNA is filed under the name uncultured bacterium. Its description in RNAcentral is "bacterial SSU rRNA". It matches the Rfam family "Bacterial small subunit ribosomal RNA", at positions 38 to 894 of the family's 1533-position model. The record is from RNAcentral.